This 440-nucleotide ribosomal RNA is filed under the name uncultured bacterium. RNAcentral's name for it is "partial 16S ribosomal RNA". It matches the Rfam family "Bacterial small subunit ribosomal RNA", at positions 338 to 795 of the family's 1533-position model. The record is from RNAcentral.
CCUACGGGAGGCAGCAGUGGGGGAUAUUGCACAAUGGGGGAAACCCUGAUGCAGCGACGCCGCGUGGGUGAAGAAGCGCCUCGGCGCGUAAAGCCCUGUCAGCGGGGAAGAAAAUGACGGUACCUGAAGAAGAAGCCCCGGCUAACUACGUGCCAGCAGCCGCGGUAAUACGAAGGGGGCAAGCGUUAUCCGGAUUUAUUGGGGGUAAAGGGGGCGCAGACGGCGAUGCAAGCCAGGAGUGAAAGCCCGGGGCCCAACCCCGGGACUGCUCUUGGAACUGCGUGGCUAGAGUGCAGGAGGGGCAGGCGGAAUUCCUGGUGUAGCGGUGAAAUGCGUAGAUAUCAGGAGGAACACCGGUGGCGAAGGCGGCCUGCUGGACUGCAACUGACGUUGAGGCCCGAAAGCGUGGGGAGCAAACAGGAUUAGAUACCCCAGUAGUC